RNAcentral lists this long non-coding RNA (346 nucleotides) under Olea europaea (common olive). RNAcentral's name for it is "long non-coding RNA (OEUR_LNC003881)". Lineage: Eukaryota; Viridiplantae; Streptophyta; Magnoliopsida; Lamiales; Oleaceae. The record is from RNAcentral.
UGUUUUGAAACCCAUGUAUGCCUAUUUAUCUGCUUGCGCAUCAGUGUUAUGAUUUAAGCUGUGCAUUGGAACCUCUCUGAAAGAAGCUGUGCCAUUAAAGUUAUCCCUUGAGAGAAUCUUUGCAAGUGGGAUGAGCAUUCAAUGAGUCGAACAGUAAUCAAACAAUGAGUCGAACAGUAAUCAAUCUACCAUUAUCUAUAUUCAAAUGAAAACAAUGCAAUUCACUGCGAUUUAAGAGAUUAUUAUAUGGAUAUCAUCACUCUUAUAGCCUAUGUUUUGCUUAUGUAUAUAAAUUGUUUAUAAAUAUUUAAGUUGAUUUUAUUCAAUAUUUCCUGUGAUCUGCAAG